UUCCAGACUCCUACGGGAGGCAGCAGUGGGGGAUAUUGCACAAUGGGGGAAACCCUGAUGCAGCGACGCCGCGUGGGUGAAGAAGCGCCUCGGCGCGUAAAGCCCUGUCAGCAGGGAAGAAAAUGACGGUACCUGAAGAAGAAGCCCCGGCUAACUACGUGCCAGCAGCCGCGGUAAUACGUAGGGGGCAAGCGUUAUCCGGAUUUACUGGGUGUAAAGGGGGCGCAGACGGCGAUGCAAGCCAGGAGUGAAAGCCCGGGGCCCAACCCCGGGACUGCUCUUGGAACUGCGUGGCUGGAGUGCAGGAGGGGCAGGCGGAAUUCCUGGUGUAGCGGUGAAAUGCGUAGAUAUUCGGAGGAACACCGGUGGCGAAGGCGGCCAACUGGGCUUUAGCUGACGCUGAGGCUCGAAAGUGUGGGGAGCAAACAGGAUUAGAUACCCUUGUAC
This 447-nucleotide ribosomal RNA is filed under the name uncultured bacterium. Its description in RNAcentral is "bacterial SSU rRNA". It matches the Rfam family "Bacterial small subunit ribosomal RNA", at positions 329 to 793 of the family's 1533-position model. The record is from RNAcentral.